Long non-coding RNA from Papaver somniferum (opium poppy), 579 nucleotides. RefSeq lists it as uncharacterized. Lineage: Eukaryota; Viridiplantae; Streptophyta; Magnoliopsida; Ranunculales; Papaveraceae. The record is from RefSeq and is a predicted model, not a curated record. The transcript has 3 exons.
UGCUUCAUUUGUAAUUAACUUUUAGAAGCAAAGAAGCAGCUUCUACACGGAGCAAAAAAUCUCGACUUCUCUCUUCUAUCAGAAGUAUCUUUUUUGCUUCUCCUCGAUCUGUAUGUGUAAAAAAAUAAUUUUUCUUUCCUCCUCAUCUUCCUUCCCUCUCGUCUUCCCCAAAACAAUAACCUAAAACUCUGUACUUUGACAUGAGAAUUAAAAUCAAAAGAGCCGUGGGAGAAGAACAAGCUAGAAUUUUUGUUUUCUUUCUCUCAUCAUCACUAAUUCAAGGGUUGAGUUUUCUAUAUGGGUCUUGAUGUAUUAGGAGAAACUGAUUUUUAGUUAACCCGUUGAACUAUUUCAACAACUGCAAAUACUUGACGAAGCCUAAAGACGAUAUAAGUUCUCAAUUUUUCAGAGAUUUGAAGAUAAAGAAAAAGAAGUGUCUACAUGCAGUUAUUUCAGAUGCAUUUGUACAUGACGCGAUCCGUGCUCGGUCUGUGUUGUUGUUAGUGCAUGAAGGGAUAUGGCGCUCUGCGAAGCAUCCAUUUGUUGUUCCCGUCUUACAUCGUUAAGUUACGUUUUGUA